This 450-nucleotide ribosomal RNA is filed under the name uncultured bacterium. RNAcentral's name for it is "partial 16S ribosomal RNA". It matches the Rfam family "Bacterial small subunit ribosomal RNA", at positions 354 to 796 of the family's 1533-position model. The record is from RNAcentral.
GUGGGGAAUCUUCCGCAAUGGACGAAAGUCUGACGGAGCAACGCCGCGUGAGUGAUGAAGGUCUUCGGAUUGUAAAGCUCUGUUAAUCGGGACGAAAGAGCCUAGUGUGAAUAAUGCUAGGAAGUGACGGUACCGGAAUAGAAAGCCACGGCUAACUACGUGCCAGCAGCCGCGGUAAUACGUAGGUGGCAAGCGUUGUCCGGAAUUAUUGGGCGUAAAGCGCGCGCAGGCGGAUCUGCCAGUCUGUCUUAAAAGUUCGGGGCUUAACCCCGUGAUGGGAUGGAAACUACAGAUCUAGAGUAUCGGAGAGGAAAGUGGAAUUCCUAGUGUAGCGGUGAAAUGCGUAGAUAUUAGGAAGAACACCUGUGGCGAAGGCGACUUUCUGGACGAAAACUGACGCUGAGGCGCGAAAGCCAGGGGAGCGAACGGGAUUAGAUACCCUGGUAGUCC